UACGUAGGGUGCAAGCGUUGUCCGGAAUUAUUGGGCGUAAAGAGCUCGUAGGCGGUCUGUCGCGUCGGCUGUGAAAACCCGAGGCUCAACCUCGGGCCUGCAGUCGAUACGGGCAGACUAGAGUUCGGCAGGGGAGACUGGAAUUCCUGGUGUAGCGGUGAAAUGCGCAGAUAUCAGGAGGAACACCGGUGGCGAAGGCGGGUCUCUGGCUUCACCCUGACGCUGAGGCGCGAAAGCGUGGGGAGCGAACGGG
This 253-nucleotide ribosomal RNA is filed under the name uncultured bacterium. Its description in RNAcentral is "partial 16S ribosomal RNA". It matches the Rfam family "Bacterial small subunit ribosomal RNA", at positions 524 to 776 of the family's 1533-position model. The record is from RNAcentral.